Molecule: ribosomal RNA, 450 nt
Filed under: uncultured bacterium
Lineage: Bacteria
Description: partial 16S ribosomal RNA
Rfam family: Bacterial small subunit ribosomal RNA
Source: RNAcentral
CCUACGGGGGGCUGCAGUGGGGAAUUUUGGACAAUGGGGGCAACCCUGAUCCAGCCAUGCCGCGUGCGGGAAGAAGGCCUUCGGGUUGUAAACCGCUUUCGGCCGGAACGAAAUCGCCGGGGAGAACAUCCCCGGUGGAUGACGGUACCGGAAGAAGAAGCACCGGCUAACUACGUGCCAGCAGCCGCGGUAAUACGUAGGGUGCGAACUGUGAUUAGAAUGUGUGGGCGCGAAGCGUGAGCACACGGGUGAAAUCCCCGGGCUUAACCUGGGAACUGCGUUUGUGACUGGCGGGCUGGAGUGCGGAAGAGGGAGGUGGAAUUCCACGUGUAGCAGUGAAAUGCGUAGAGAUGUGGAGGAACACCGAUGGCGAAGGCAGCCUCCUGGUCUAGCACUGACGCUCAUGCACGAAAGCGUGGGGAGCAAACAGGAUUAGAUACCCCGGUAGUC